This 383-nucleotide unclassified non-coding RNA is filed under the name uncultured Bryobacterales bacterium. Its description in RNAcentral is "contains 16S-23S intergenic spacer region". The record is from RNAcentral. Lineage: Bacteria; Pseudomonadati; Acidobacteriota; Terriglobia; Bryobacterales.
UCCAGCUUAUCGCUGGCGGUCUCCUGAGAGUGCUUCCUUUUAAGGGGAGUGGCAACACAGGACAAGGGUUGCGCUCGUUGCGGGACUUAACCCAACAUCUCACGACACGAGCUGACGACAGCCAUGCAGCACCUCGACUCAAGUCCCUUGCGGGAAGUCCCUGUUUCCAAGGAUGAUCUUAAGCCGUUCGAGCCCAGGUAAGGUUCUUCGCGUUGCGUCGAAUUGAACCACAUGCUCCACCGCUUGUGCGGGCCCCCGUCAAUUCCUUUGAGUUUCAGCCUUGCGGCCGUACUCCCCAGGCGGGGUACUUACUGCGUUAGCGACGGCACCGAAGGGGUCGCUCCCCCCGACGCCUAGUACCCAUCGUUUACGGCGUGGACUAC